Molecule: ribosomal RNA, 509 nt
Filed under: uncultured bacterium
Lineage: Bacteria
Description: bacterial SSU rRNA
Rfam family: Bacterial small subunit ribosomal RNA
Source: RNAcentral
UUAUGCUCAGGAUGAACGCUAGCGGCAGGCUUAACACAUGCAAGUCGAGGGGCAGCGGGAUGUAGCAAUACAUUGCCGGCGACCGGCGGAUGGGUGCGUAACGCGUAUGCAACCUACCUUAUACAGGGGAAUAACCUUUCGAAAGGGAGACUAACACCCCAUGGUAUUGAUUUAAGGCAUCUUAGAUUAAUUAAAUAUUUAUAGGUAUAAGAUGGGCAUGCGUAUGAUUAGCUAGUUGGUAAGGUAACGGCUUACCAAGGCGACGAUCAUUAGGGGUUCUGAGAGGAAGGUCCCCCCACACUGGUACUGAGACACGGACCAGACUCCUACGGGAGGCAGCAGUGAGGAAUAUUGGUCAAUGGGCGCAAGCCUGAACCAGCCAUGCCGCGUGCAGGAAAGACGGCCUUAUGGGUUGUAAACUGCUUUUACAUAAGACUAACCGUAUAUUUGCGAAUAUACCUGAAUGUAUUAUGAGAAUAAGGAUCGGCUAACUCCGUGCCAGCAGCCGC